GAUGAACGCUGGCGGCGUGCUUAACACAUGCAAGUCGAACGGAAAGGCCCUGCUUUCGUGGGGUGCUCGAGUGGCGAUCGGGUGAGUAACACGUGAGCAUCCUGCUCUUGUCUUUGGGAUAACUUCAGGAAACUGGGGUUACUACCGGACAGGAUAUCCCGCUGCAUGGUGGGGGUUGGAUAGUCUCGGCGGGUGGGGAUGGAUGCGCGGCUUAUCAGUUUGUUGGUGGGGUAGUGGCUUACCCAGGCUUUGACGGGUAGCCGGCUUGAGAGGGGGAACGGCGACAAGGGGACUAAGAGACGGCCCAGUCGGGUACGGUGGGCAAUGGUGGGGAGUAUUACACAAUGAGCCGGAGCCGGAUGCGACGACGCCGCGGGCGGGAAGACGGCCUGCGGGGAGUGAAACGCUGUCGCCUGAGACGAAGCGUGAGUGACGGUAAUGAAUAAAGAAGCACCGGCUAACUACGUG
Molecule: ribosomal RNA, 468 nt
Filed under: uncultured bacterium
Lineage: Bacteria
Description: partial 16S ribosomal RNA
Rfam family: Bacterial small subunit ribosomal RNA
Source: RNAcentral